This 279-nucleotide unclassified non-coding RNA is filed under the name Hevea brasiliensis (rubber tree). The record is from RNAcentral. Lineage: Eukaryota; Viridiplantae; Streptophyta; Magnoliopsida; Malpighiales; Euphorbiaceae.
UUCCCUUUCAGCAAUGAAUCAACUUGAAAAGGUGGUAGCAAAUCUCACAUGAAAGGCCAGAAAAAAGCUUAAAAAUACACACACACACACACAUUUAGUUGUUUGGUUCCCGGAUCACAUCCCGUCACAAUUGAAAUAGCUAUGCUCCAUUAAUUUUAUGCAGCAUUUUGAUUCAUCAUUCGGAACAAAUCCAUUUAGGAAGAUGAUAUCUUAUAUCUCAAUAUGAAAUGUAAAAAUGAUGUUUUACUAUUAAUAAUAGGGUUAGGUGAAUUUAGACUG